AGACGAGGGGUCCAAGCGUUGUUCGGAAUCAUUGGGCGUAAAGCGGGUGUAGGUGGCUCUAUAAGUCAGGAGUGAAAGCCCUAAGCUUAACUUAGGAAGUGCUUUUGAUGCUGUAGAGCUUGAAUGUGGGAGAGGAUCGUAGAAUUCCUGGUGUAGUGGUGAAAUACGUAGAUAUCAGGAGGAAGGCCGGUGGCGAAGGCGGCGCUCUGGAACAUACCUGACGCUGAGACACGAAAGCGUGGGGAGC
RNAcentral lists this ribosomal RNA (247 nucleotides) under uncultured bacterium. Its description in RNAcentral is "partial 16S ribosomal RNA". It matches the Rfam family "Bacterial small subunit ribosomal RNA", at positions 523 to 769 of the family's 1533-position model. The record is from RNAcentral.